RNA transcript from Tarenaya hassleriana, 3049 nucleotides. It is a transcript of the gene named LAG1 longevity assurance homolog 3, with no coding region annotated. The transcript is spliced from 8 exons. Lineage: Eukaryota; Viridiplantae; Streptophyta; Magnoliopsida; Brassicales; Cleomaceae. The record is from RefSeq and is a predicted model, not a curated record.
UUUGCCGAGUAAUGAGCCAGAUCGUGAACUCAUUCAGAGGCUUGUGCGAAUCGAAGGCUUCGAGUAGUCCUGCUUGGAUUGGACUCGCUCUGAUCCACGUUUGCUUCUGGUAUUCGAGAGAAAGCAAAUCCCUUUUUGUUCCUCUGAUAGACGAGGCGACCAAGGCCAAAGAGCUUCUGCGUUCUUGGUGGAUGUAAUUUUCUGAUUGUUUCUCGAGAAAUAGUCUGGUAUCGGCUACUGGUGAGAAAAUCCGAAAUGGGUUUUGUCGAAUCGCUGAAAUCGGUGAACUGGGAUCUCGAAUCGUACCCGACGUUCCAGGAUUUCAAGGUUCUUCCGCUCUUUGCAGUUUUCUUCCCAUCGGUUCGGUUUCUUCUCGAUAGGUUCGUUUUCGAGAAAUUGGCCAAAGUUUUGAUCUAUGGGAAACAACGGAAUAUGGGUGAUGACAUAAAGGAGAGAAGGAAGAAAGUCCGGAAAUUCAAAGAGUCGGCAUGGAAAUGUGUCUACUACCUGUCAGCCGAGAUUCUUGCCCUAUCUGUGACUUAUAACGAACCUUGGUUUAAGAAAACUCGAUACUUUUGGGUAGGGCCAGGUGAUCAGAUGUGGCCUGAUCAACAAAUAAAGGUAAAGUUGAAGUUGUUGUAUAUGUUUGCUGCUGGGUUCUACACUUACUCCAUGUUUGCUCUGAUAUUCUGGGAAACGAGGCGUUCCGACUUUGGAGUUUCCAUGGGCCAUCAUAUCGCUACUCUUAUUCUUAUUGUGCUAUCCUAUUUAUGUAGAUUCUCCCGUGUUGGUUCUGUUGUGUUGGCACUUCACGAUGCCAGUGAUGUGUUCCUGGAAGUGGGGAAAAUGUCCAAAUACAGCGGAGCUGAAAGUAUUGCGAGCUUUUCAUUUAUUCUCUUCGUCUUGUCUUGGAUCAUACUUCGCCUUAUCUACUAUCCUUGCUGGGUCCUUUGGAGCACAAGCUAUGAAGUUCUUUUGACGCUUGACAAGGAAAAACACCCGGUUGAGGGACCAAUCUACUACUACAUGUUCAACGUGCUUCUGUAUUGCUUGUUCAUCCUUCACAUUUAUUGGUGGGCUUUGAUAUUCCGGAUGCUUGUGAAACAAAUACAGGCCAGAGGCAAGCUUAGUGAAGAUGUCAGAUCGGAUUCUGAAGGUGAAGAUGAGCAUGAAGAUUGAUAGCAAUGAUUCCAAACCCUCUAUACACUCAAUGAUUAAGACAUAGAGAGAGAGAGAGACCUUCAGCCAUUGACAACUGACAAGCAACGAGUGCAUGUUCUACUAAACUAACACCUUGCUCCAUCUUCCUGAGUGUUAACUUACAAUGUUGUCUUGGUCGGACAGACUGAACCAACACUCUUCUAGGUCUGCUUCUCCGUCAAAGGUACAUUUUCUCUCUCCGUCUCUCUCCCAUUUUCUCGGCAGCCAAACACUAAUAUUUCUCUUUUCUUCCUGAGUAAUUCUGCUAGGGGUUUAUGAUGCUCUCAGUCGCUUUGAAACUUCAGAAAGUUAUGUGGAUAUGGGAAAUGUUUUGCUAAUUUUCGAAACUUUAAUUGUUCUUCUGUUGUUUUAUCAUCCAGUUUUUUAGAUUUAGAAUUCCUUGGAUCAGAACAUGGCUUCUUGUAUGAGACUAUUAGAUGGGACGAUUUUGUGUGCUUCAACGAGCAUUGUGUUGAUAUCCACAGCGUUUCUUGUCCAAGUCCGAAUUGGUCAUAUCAUAUUCAUAGAUCUGUCUCAGACCGUAGGGAUUGAGUUCAAGUUUCAGUCUUGAAACACAGAUUUGUAAAAAAAAAAAAAAGAGAGAGCUGGAUUUUGAUUAUUACCAAGACGAUAAAGCGCUGGUAAACGCAAGAUUUGUGAUUAGAUUUUUCUUCUAAGCUCUGAAGUUAUUCUCACGUAGUUCUUUGGGAACACAAGAUUUGUGAUUAGAUGAUUGAGGUUUCUUUUGCUGCAUUGCUUGUUGGAUUCAGCUCAGAUGCAUGAUGGCAAUAUAUAUGAGAAGACAUGGAGAAACUUCGGUUCCCAGCAAUUGAAAUGCAUAUGUGUUUACUUUUACCAGAACCAACGGAAUAAGUCUAGUUUACAUAUGUUAGUGCAUCAAUAUCAAUCUUAUCUUUGUGGUCUUGUCCUAACAGUUUCAUUCAUCAGCAACUUAAUCGCAUCUUUGAUGUUUGUGUUGCACAGAACCUUGAUCAAAUCCUGAAAUGGAAGACUUACUAACUGAGAUCUCUCCACCGUCAAGAUUCUUCCAAGAAGAUCUCAACAACUUUGUCUCUCUCCAUCCGAUCACGUUCCAUCUCCAUUCAUCGUCAUGUCCAGCCCAAAGCCAGAGAUGCCUCUUCGACCGUCUUUGCUCACCAUAUCCAUUUCUUCACCAUCUCUAUAAAUCUUCCACAGUUUAUCCUCUAAAACCCUCAUCAGAAGUCCCCUCAUGCCUGAAAUCCCGUUUUCUGAAAAACACUGUUGAACCCUCUCAUUAGGAGACAGAUCCUGCAACAUAUAUUCCGUCAAUGGCACCAACGAUUAUUUGAUUCUCCUUGUCUCAAUCCAGCUCUCUGUAUCUCCAUUGGUCAAGAAUUUAUCCCCGAGAGGGUUAUAAUCUCGGAUUCCAUUCAAAGUCGUAACUUCAGGGUUAGGCUCUCACCAGAUAUGACUCGUACAUAUAAGCUCGAGACAUCCUCCGAAUGAAAAGCAGCUGCUGGCAGCAAUUCUAGACACUGGUCUGGCGAAUCUGGAAUACUAUCCACCUGAGAGUGUGGUUGAUGGCCUGAGUUCCGCCCUUUUGAGCCAAUGUCAGCUAAAGAGGUUGUCUCCUGGCCCGACGAGUUUGGUCCCCUUGCUGCAAGACUUGUCGGAGCUCUGGUGAAGAAUUUUAUCUCCGGUCUGGACUCCGUAUUGUAAAUGAUGCUCCUCGAGGAUUAUUCUUCAAGAACAACAAAAAGCAUUCUGGGGUGGAUCAUGAACUGUAUGCUUGAUCAACUUUGCUAGGAGAACCGACAAACUUCUCAAGUGUGUUACCGUUUUCAUUACGAAAAGUCUUUGUUGCCCA